CCUACGGGGUGCUGCAGUAGGGAAUAUUGCUCAAUGGGGGAAACCCUGAAGCAGCAACGCCGCGUGGAGGAUGAAGGUUUUAGGAUUGUAAACUCCUUUUGUUAGAGAAGAUUAUGACGGUAUCUAACGAAUAAGAACCGGCUAACUCCGUGCCAGCAGCCGCGGUAAUACGGAGGGUGCAAGCGUUACUCGGAAUCACUGGGCGUAAAGAGUGCGUAGGCGGGGUAAUAAGUCAGAUGUGAAAUCCUGUGGCUUAACUACAGAACUGCAUUUGAAACUGUUACUCUGGAGUGUGGGAGAGGUAGAUGGAAUUCUUGGUGUAGGGGUAAAAUCCGUAGAGAUCAAGAGGAAUACUCAUUGCGAAGGCGACCUGCUGGAACAUUACUGACGCUGAUGCACGAAAGCGUGGGGAGCAAACAGGAUUAGAUACCCGAGUAGUC
This 440-nucleotide ribosomal RNA is filed under the name uncultured bacterium. RNAcentral describes it as "partial 16S ribosomal RNA". It matches the Rfam family "Bacterial small subunit ribosomal RNA", at positions 338 to 795 of the family's 1533-position model. The record is from RNAcentral.